RNAcentral lists this ribosomal RNA (765 nucleotides) under uncultured Pseudomonadota bacterium. RNAcentral describes it as "bacterial SSU rRNA". It matches the Rfam family "Bacterial small subunit ribosomal RNA", at positions 56 to 850 of the family's 1533-position model. Lineage: Bacteria; Pseudomonadati; Pseudomonadota. The record is from RNAcentral.
UGCAAGUCGAACGAGAAAGUGGUAGCAAUACCAUGAGUAAAGUGGCGCACGGGUGAGUAACACGUGACUAACCUACCCUGGAGUGGGGGAUAACUGAGGGAAACCUUAGCUAAUACCGCAUAAUACCUACGGGUCAAAGGAGCAAUUCGCUUUGGGAGGGGGUCGCGGCCGAUUAGUUAGUUGGCGGGGUAAUGGCCCACCAAGACGAUGAUCGGUAUCCGGCCUGAGAGGGCGCACGGACACACUGGAACUGAAACACGGUCCAGACUCCUACGGGAGGCAGCAGUGGGGAAUUUUGCGCAAUGGGGGAAACCCUGACGCAGCAACGCCGCGUGGAGGAUGAAGUCCUUCGGGACGUAAACUCCUUUCGAUCGGGACGAUUAUGACGGUACCGGAAGAAGAAGCCCCGGCUAACUUCGUGCCAGCAGCCGCGGUAAUACGAGGGGGGCGAGCGUUGUUCGGAAUUAUUGGGCGUAAAGGGUGCGUAGGCGGUUUGGUAAGUCUCUUGUGAAAUCUAUGGGCUCAACUCAUAGUCUGCAAGGGAAACUGCCGGGCUUGAGUGUGGGAGAGGUGAGUGGAAUUUCCGGUGUAGCGGUGAAAUGCGUAGAUAUCGGAAGGAACACCUGUGGCGAAAGCGGCUCACUGGACCACAACUGACGCUGAUGCACGAAAGCUAGGGGAGCAAACAGGAUUAGAUACCCUGGUAGUCCUAGCCCUAAACGAUGACUGCUUAAUGUGACGGGUACCCAAUCCCGCCGUGCCGUA